CAGUGGGGAAUCUUGCGCAAUGGGCGAAAGCCUGACGCAGCAACGCCGCGUGAGCGAAGACGGCCUUCGGGUUGUAAAGCUCUGUCAGGAGGGACGAAGCCACUCAGGUGAAUAGCCGAGAGGGUGACGGUACCUCCAGAGGAAGCCCCGGCUAACUACGUGCCAGCAGCCGCGGUAAUACGUAGGGGGCGAGCGUUGUCCGGAAUCAUUGGGCGUAAAGCGCGUGUAGGCGGCCAUCCAAGUCCGAUGUGAAAGCUCGGGGCUCAACCCCGAGUCUGCAUUGGAAACUGGCUGGCUAGAGUCCGGAAGAGGAGACUGGAAUUCCUGGUGUAGCGGUGAAAUGCGCAGAUAUCAGGAAGAACACCGGUGGCGAAGGCGGGUCUCUGGGACGGUACUGACGCUGAGACGCGAAAGCGUGGGGAGCAAACAGGAUUAGAUACCCUGGUAGUCCACGCCGUAAACGAUGGGCACUAGGUGUGGGAGGUGUCGACUCCUUCCGUGCCGUAGCUAACGCAUUAAGUGCCCCGCCUGGGGAGUACGGCCGCAAGGCUAAAACUCAAAG
This 562-nucleotide ribosomal RNA is filed under the name uncultured bacterium. RNAcentral describes it as "bacterial SSU rRNA". It matches the Rfam family "Bacterial small subunit ribosomal RNA", at positions 352 to 906 of the family's 1533-position model. The record is from RNAcentral.